GCGAUUGUGGUGGAACGGUAGACACGCAGGCUUGAGGGGCUUGUGCCGAAAGGUGUGAGGGUUCAAAUCCCUCCAAUCGCACCA
Molecule: transfer RNA, 84 nt
Filed under: Sulfurimonas hongkongensis
Lineage: Bacteria; Pseudomonadati; Campylobacterota; Epsilonproteobacteria; Campylobacterales; Sulfurimonadaceae
Description: tRNA-Leu
Rfam family: tRNA
About the family: Transfer RNA (tRNA) molecules are approximately 80 nucleotides in length.
Source: RNAcentral